Molecule: ribosomal RNA, 422 nt
Filed under: uncultured microorganism
Description: bacterial SSU rRNA
Rfam family: Archaeal small subunit ribosomal RNA
Source: RNAcentral
GCGCACCAGGCGAGAAACCUUUACCAUGCACGAAAGUGUGAUAAGGUUGCCCGGAGUGCCCAGAGAAAACUAGUGGGCUGUUAUAGGUGUGUAGAUAACCCUAUGAGAAAGGAGAGGGCAAGGCUGGUGCCAGCCGCCGCGGUAAAACCAGCUCUUCAAGUGGUCGGGACUUUUAUUGGGCUUAAAGUGUCCGUAGCCUGUUUGGUAAGUUCCUGGUUAAAUAUGGCAGCUUAACUGUCACUUGGCUAGGAAUACUGCCUUACUAGAGGGUGGGGAAAGGUUUGGGGUACGUCCAGGGGGUAGCGGUGAAAUGCGAUAAUCCUUGGGGGACCACCAGUGGCGAAGGCGCCAGACUGGAACACGCCUGACGGUGAGGGACGAAAGCCAGGGGGAGCGAACGGGAUUUAGAUACCCCCUGUAGU